GGGUGGUAAAUUCCAUCUAAAGCUAAAUAUUGGCGAGAGACCGAUAGCGAACAAGUACCGUGAGGGAAAGAUGAAAAGCACUUUGGAAAGAGAGUUAACAGUACGUGAAAUUGUUGGAAGGGAAACGCUGAAGUCAGACUUGCUUGCCGAGCAAUCGGUUUGCAGCCAGCAUCAUUUCCGGGAUGGAUA
RNAcentral lists this ribosomal RNA (189 nucleotides) under Rhodotorula dairenensis. RNAcentral describes it as "partial large subunit ribosomal RNA". It matches the Rfam family "Eukaryotic large subunit ribosomal RNA", at positions 294 to 485 of the family's 3401-position model. Lineage: Eukaryota; Fungi; Basidiomycota; Microbotryomycetes; Sporidiobolales; Sporidiobolaceae. The record is from RNAcentral.